GUUGAGUUCUAUUGGUUAAGGAGGCCAGUGGUGUGAGUUCGGCGGCGGCGACAACGAUGGAGAUAAUUCCCAUUCCGACAGAAACGUACAAGCUGGGAUUCAUCGGAGCAGGGAAAAUGGCUGAGAGUAUAGUGAAAGGGGUGGUUCAAGCUGGCGUGUUGCCAUCUUCUCGCAUCCGAACAGCUCACUCCAAUCCCAAGCGCUGUGCUGCCUUCGAGUCGUUCGGCGUCAAAAUCCUCCCUCACAAUCAAGCUGUAGUUGAAGACAGCGACGUGGUCAUAUUCUCUGUAAAACCUCAAGUUGUUAAAGAUGUGGUUUUGCAGUUAAGGCCAGUUCUCACAAAGAAAAAGCUUCUGGUUUCAGUUGCUGCUGGAAUAAAAUUGAAAGACUUGCAGGAGUGGGCUGCUCACAGCCGGUUUAUCAGGGUGAUGCCAAAUACUGCUGCUUCUGUAGGAGAGGCAGCAACAGUAAUGAGCCUGGGUAGAGCUGCAACUGAAGAGGAUGGAGAAUUGAUUGCUAAAUUAUUUGGAUCAGUUGGUAAGGUAUGGAGAGCUGAUGAUAAAUAUUUUGAUGCAAUUACUGGUCUGAGUGGGAGCGGCCCAGCCUACAUAUAUUUAGCAAUUGAAGCAUUAGCUGAUGGAGGAG
Molecule: unclassified non-coding RNA, 645 nt
Filed under: Hevea brasiliensis (rubber tree)
Lineage: Eukaryota; Viridiplantae; Streptophyta; Magnoliopsida; Malpighiales; Euphorbiaceae
Source: RNAcentral